GAGAAACCGAUGAUUAAGAGGAGUAGCCUUUCAAAUCAGCUUUCAGAGAGUUGCGGAUGGUGGAAUCGCAACAGCGAGAGGAUGGGUGAAUGGACUUAUGAGGGCGGUCGAAAGCGAAAGCGAGUAGUAACCGACGGGAAACGCACCCGUUACCAGAGCGUAACUGUAUGGCUGUACAGUGGAAAGAGCGGAUGAUUUUUUCAUCAAUUUGGGUGGUACCGCAGGAAUAUACAAGUCUUGUCCCAUAG
RNAcentral lists this non-coding RNA (248 nucleotides) under Bacillota bacterium. Its description in RNAcentral is "Firmicutes bacterium T-box sequence". It matches the Rfam family "T-box leader". From Rfam's summary of the family: Uncharged tRNA acts as the effector for transcription antitermination of genes in the T-box leader family. Lineage: Bacteria; Bacillati; Bacillota. The record is from RNAcentral.